AUUGAACGCUGGCGGAAUGCUUUACACAUGCAAGUCGAACGGUAGAGGGGGCAACCCCUCGAGAGUGGCGAACGGGUGAGUAAUAUAUCGGAACGUGCCCAGUCGUGGGGGAUAACGUAGCGAAAGUUACGCUAAUACCGCAUACGAUCUAAGGAUGAAAGCGGGGGAUCGCAAGACCUCGCGCGAUUGGAGCGGCCGAUAUCAGAUUAGGUAGUUGGUGGGGUAAAGGCUCACCAAGCCAACGAUCUGUAGCUAGUCUGAGAGGACGACCAGCCACACUGGAACUGAGACACGGUCCAGACUCCUACGGGGGGCAGCAGUGGGGAAUUUUGGACAAUGGACGCAAGUCUGAUCCAGCCAUUCCGCGUGCAGGAUGAAGGCCCUCGGGUUGUAAACUGCUUUUGUACGGAACGAAAAGGUCUCUCUUAAUACGGGGGACUCAUGACGGUACCGUAAGAAUAAGCACCGGCUAACUACGUGCCAGCAGCCGCCGUAA
This 496-nucleotide ribosomal RNA is filed under the name uncultured bacterium. RNAcentral describes it as "partial 16S ribosomal RNA". It matches the Rfam family "Bacterial small subunit ribosomal RNA", at positions 30 to 523 of the family's 1533-position model. The record is from RNAcentral.